This 365-nucleotide ribosomal RNA is filed under the name uncultured eukaryote. Its description in RNAcentral is "partial 18S ribosomal RNA". It matches the Rfam family "Eukaryotic small subunit ribosomal RNA", at positions 592 to 976 of the family's 1831-position model. The record is from RNAcentral.
CAAUAGCGUAUAUUUAAGUUGUUGCAGUUAAAAAGCUCGUAGUCGGAUUUUGGCUGAGAACGAACGGUCCGCCGUUAGGUGUGCACUGUUUGGUCUCAGCUUCCUGGUGAGGAGGUGUGCUUCACGGCCACUUAGUCACCGUGGUUACUUUGAAAAAAUUAGAGUGUUCAAAGCGGGCUUACGCUUGAAUAUAUUAGCAUGGAAUAACACCAUAGGACUCCUGUCCUAUUUCGUUGGUCUCGGGACGGGAGUAAUGAUUAAGAGGAACAGUUGGGGGCAUUCGUAUUUCAUUGUCAGAGGUGAAAUUCUUGGAUUUAUGAAAGACGGACUUCUGCGAAAGCAUUUGCCAAGGAUGUUUUCAUUGA